This is a long non-coding RNA of Triticum dicoccoides, 2795 nucleotides long. RefSeq lists it as uncharacterized. The record is from RefSeq and is a predicted model, not a curated record. The transcript is spliced from 3 exons. Lineage: Eukaryota; Viridiplantae; Streptophyta; Magnoliopsida; Poales; Poaceae.
UGAAUAGCCCCUCCUUCGCUCAAUCUUUACCGUCCUCGUGGUCAAAAAAAAUAUUUGCCAUCCUUCUGUCGAUCGUCCCUGUCUCUUCUCUUCUAGGGUUCACCACCUCCGCCGCCCCUGACGCUACUCCUUCGCUGCUGCCCCUCCCUCUGCCUGCCUCCUCUCUCUCUCUCUCUCUCUCUCUCUCCGUCAAUCCAUCCAAGUCGAACCACACCCGUCGCGUCCCAUGCUCCCAUGGGAGAUCGAGCGCAUGUAGCCAACCGAUGAGCCACCUUGUUUUCCGGCGGCACCUCGCUGCGGCCGCGGCCAUCCGGCGAUCCCCUGCUGCGUUCACUUCCAUGUGACCCACCUCUCACCCGCGCUCCAUGUUUUUGGUCGUGAUCCGGUUUCGUCCAAUGCUUAUCAUCGCGGGGGGAGCAGUCCGUGGAAAUUUGAUGCCGGUUUCUUAUGCAGGAGCUCGAAGCACCUGCUCCCGGGCCGCCAUUUUAGACACGGUCUGGGCUGGUAGCUGUCAGGGUUCCGAGGGGAGCCUGGCAUUGAUUUGCACUGCUCGGUUACUCACAGUUUUAGGUGAUGUGCAGGUUGCUGCACACGCCGGAAUUUGCUAUGGUGUCUCCCAAGGAGAUCUCUGGUUCAAGCCCAGGGGAAGUGCAGAAAUUCGGUAAGAUGACCGCCAUUUUGUGGAUAUGUUUGUAUGCAUUCUUUUAAAUUGGUCCUGCUUGCUAGCUUUAUCAUGGGCACGCUUCAUAACUGUCUCUGUCCAUGGGGUUACUGAUUACUGAUUGUGAUGUUUAAGCAUGAUACAUAGGAAUAUUAUUAUCUUUAUGGUGAAGGUGGAUAGAAAUAAUUUUACUUGAGAAGGAGCUUUCCAUUGCAUCCGAUGUGUACUAUCAUUCUCUGAACUUCCUAUUGGGCAAAAUGGACAAGAUGUGUUUGGUCAGUCGUGCUUUGUUUUUUUAGGCUAUGGCUAUGAUAACUUGAUGACACCCCUUUGUAGUACAGAGCAAUCUCAUGUGUUUGUCCUCCAGCUUCAGGAACAUUGAUUACUGUACAAUGGCCAAGCAAUUAUUUAAAAAAUACAAAACCUGAAAUUGAAUUGCUAAAACAUGGAAUUAUUCUUCUUCUUGGUAGGUUAAUGUAUGACUAUCAGGUUCCCCACCAAGUGAAAUGUGCUAUUUCACCACAGACAUUGACAAAGUUAAGUUCAGUGCAGGGAAAAUGGAUAGUCUGCUAACUGGAACUCUAGAUAGUUGAUCCUUUGAAUGGCGAAAAAAUUAUCAAAGUUGCUGAGGUUCGGGGAUCUGAAAUAAAGGUAGUGAUGCUUUUGGGUGCUUAUCUUUUCAUUUUCAUGUCACGGCGAUGUGAGUGUAAUUUGUUCAUAGUAUCUAUUAACUUUUCCCAACUCAAAAUACAAUAUUUUUUUUUCAAAAAGAGCUCAAAAUACAACUGACUUUUCCUUGUUUAAACUUUACUGGUAUUGUCGUGUGUGUAUUAGCUCUAAAGUAUGUUCUCAAAGAAUAUGUAAUUUUUUCGUGUUGCAUCCAUUUGUGGAGAGUUUAUCUAAAUGUCCACCGCAUGGACUUCACAACCCCCUUAGAGCUCCUUCUGGUCUAUUUUGUUUUCUUGUACUAUGAAUUUAAGGUGAUUCUCGAGGGGAACAAGUCGCCAUGGACUGGCGAGAUCGAGAGAGGCUCCGCGGUUGCGAGGAACGCCGGCUGAGAGGAGUGGCAACAACAACUCGUUGGACGUGAUUGCCCGAGCAUUUGUGAGAGGGGAUAGAGCGGCGGUUGCGCAACUACCUCGUCCCGACAAGUUGCGAGAGUGGAUGGAGUGGCGGCUGCAUGGGGGCACUCCUGGAGGUGUCAGUAUGCACCCUAAUUUUGAGCCUGGGAGGAUCCUCGCUCUGCCCAAGCCUCAAGGGUGUCCAUCUACUUUGGUGUCGUUUUCUGGAGUCAAGAUGAUGCACUAAUGCAGCAAGAAUGUAUAGAUCUCCAGAGCUCUAUGGAUCCUUCUCUUCACAAAAGCCUUAGGGCGUGGACGGCGAGAAGCGGAGGCACAUGCCUAGCGUAGUGGACCAUGAUGGAUUGAUGAGCUGAUGUCACGUGGCGGCUGGUUAUGCCCCAGCGGCUGGAGCCAUCAUCGACCAUGCUACAAAAUACAAUUUAUAUGUUUUUCAAAAAGAGCUCAAAAUACAACCGACUUUUCCUUGUUUAAAUUGUACUGGUAUUGUCGUGUGUGUAUUAGCUCUGAAGUAUGUUCUCAAAGAAUAUGUAAUAUUUUUCGUGUUGUAUCCAUUUGUGGAGAGUUUAUCUAAAUGCCCAACGCAUGGACUUCACAACCCCCGUAGAGCUCCUUCUUGUCUGUGUUGUUUUCUUGUACUAUGGAUUUAAGGUGAUUCUUGAGGGGAACAAGUCGCCAUGGACCGGCGAAAUCGAGACAAGCUCUGCAGUUGUCAGGAGCGCCCGCUGAGAGGAGUGGCAACAACAACCCGUUGGCUGUGACGGCCCGAGCAUUUGUGAUAGGGGAUGGAGCGGCAGUUGCGCAACUAUCUCGUCCUGACUAGUUGCAAGAGUGGAUGGAGUGGCGGCUGCAUGGGCGCGCUUCGGGAGGUGUCAGUAUGCACCCUGAUUUUGAGCCUGGGAAGAUCCUCGCUCUGCCCUAGCCUCAAGGGUGCCCAUCUACUUUGGUGUCGCUUUUUGGAGUCAAGAUGAUGCACUAAUGCAGGUUUGAUUAUUUACUUUUUCUUUUCUUUCAUUUGUAUGCAUAUCCCUAAAUUUUGUGAGACGUGAUUUGAA